GGCAGGCAGCAGCAAAGCUGCGCCUACUUCCCUGCCACCCCAUCUGUAGCUCGUCUGUGCCACCUGCAGCGCUAUGUUUGGAAGAGUUUUCAGAGAGCAUAUGUAAAGCCACACAAUUUCCUGUGCUGAUGAUACUUGUCUUUUCUAGAUCAGUAUCCAGCAAGUCAUCCCAAGUUUUGCAGAUGGAAGAAACACACCUCCUGAUUUUUACAUUUUUUUAUAUCUCUGCCAGUAAGCUACCUUUCUGCUUCUCUAGUCAAGCGUUUCUUUUCCUACGGGCGUUUUCUUGAGCUUCUUCAGACAGUUUUAAUUUUGAAGCUCCGCAUCUUUCACAUUCCUGCAUUUGUGCUCCAUUGGAAACCUUGCCUCACCAACCAACAAAACAGCCAUGUAGCAGAAGUGGUAGGAGGCACCAGCAGCUACACCUCUAUAUCCCAGCAGAGACAGCAGCUGCCUGUCUUCAGUGACUUGUCCAGGCAGAAGAAGGACAGUUGCACCGGCACCUAGACCCGCCUUCCCUCCUCUACGAAAGGAGAAAGGAGAAAGCUGGAAGGAAGAAAAGGUCGAGAGCGACCGCGGCAAAAGCGAGGACUUGGCCCGGGUCAGGACUGCCGGGCUGGUGUGGCAGCAGCGCUCGCAGCCCUCGGGGCCGCACAUGCAGCACGGCAGAGCAGCGUCUGCUCUUGGCAUCGCCAGGCACUUCCUCAGGGACACUGAGCACGUUAAGCUCUAAGUACCUCAUCUGGGAAAGGGAGCAAAGCUAUUUUUAGUCCCCCCAAGAGUCUAAAACAGAGCUAGAUAAGAUUAACGGACAUUUGUGGAGAUUACCAAGAGUUAAAAGUAGAGGUCAAACUCCCACGGUGCUCAUUCUCUCUUUUAGCCUAGAGUGACUACAUUUUUGAGGUGAAGGAAGGGGAAACAAUGGGGAGCGUUUUGUUUGUCUGAAAUCUUUGGGGAUUUAAAACCCCCAAACCUUUAAAUAAUGCUAUGAAGAGAUUACAGCUGAUGCCCAAUGUUUUAUUUUUCAAAAAAAGUCCUUUGUUCAAGGAGACUCCUGCAAAAAUGUGUUGUCUUAGACCAGGGUGCUUGAAAAUAUACCAUUUCAGAAUAA
Harpia harpyja (harpy eagle) is the source of this 1111-nucleotide long non-coding RNA. RefSeq lists it as uncharacterized. Lineage: Eukaryota; Metazoa; Chordata; Aves; Accipitriformes; Accipitridae. The transcript is spliced from 2 exons. The record is from RefSeq and is a predicted model, not a curated record.